This 524-nucleotide ribosomal RNA is filed under the name uncultured Burkholderiales bacterium. RNAcentral's name for it is "bacterial SSU rRNA". It matches the Rfam family "Bacterial small subunit ribosomal RNA", at positions 8 to 526 of the family's 1533-position model. Lineage: Bacteria; Pseudomonadati; Pseudomonadota; Betaproteobacteria; Burkholderiales. The record is from RNAcentral.
AGAGUUUGAUCCUGGCUCAGAUUGAACGCUGGCGGCAUGCUUUACACAUGCAAGUCGAACGGCAGCACGGGGGCAACCCUGGCUGGCGAGUGGCGAACGGGUGAGUAAUGCAUCGGAACGUGUCCUGUAAUGGGGGAUAACCUGGCGAAAGCCAGGCUAAUACCGCAUACGUCCUGAGGGAGAAAGCGGGGGCUCGCAAGACCCCGUGUUAUAGGGGCGGCCGAUGUCGGAUUAGCUGGUUGGUGGGGUAAAGGCCUACCAAGGCGACGAUCCGUAGCGGGUCUGAGAGGACGGCCCGCCACACUGGGACUGAGACACGGCCCAGACUCCUACGGGAGGCAGCAGUGGGGAAUUUUGGACAAUGGGGGCAACCCUGAUCCAGCCAUGCCGCGUGAGUGAAGAAGGCCUUCGGGUUGUAAAGCUCUUUCGGCCGGGAAGAAAUCGCAUCUCCUAAUACGGGGUGUGGAUGACGGUACUGGAAGAAGAAGCACCGGCUAACUACGUGCCAGCCGCCGCGGUAAUUC